This 789-nucleotide ribosomal RNA is filed under the name uncultured bacterium. RNAcentral's name for it is "bacterial SSU rRNA". It matches the Rfam family "Bacterial small subunit ribosomal RNA", at positions 8 to 796 of the family's 1533-position model. The record is from RNAcentral.
AGAGUUUGAUCAUGGCUCAGGAUGAACGCUAGCGGCAGGCCUAAUACAUGCAAGUCGAACGGUAAAUAGAUCAGCAAUGGUCUAUGAGAGUGACGCACGGGUGCGUAACACGUAUGCAACCUACCCUUUACAGGAGUAUAGCUCGGGGAAACUCGAAUUAACACUUCAUAGUAUAAUUGAAUGGCAUCAUUUGAUUAUUAAAUCUGCGGAGGUAAAGGAUGGGCAUGCGUCUGAUUAGCUAGUUGGUAGUGUAAUGGACUACCAAGGCGAUGAUCAGUAGGGGAACUGAGAGGUUGAUCCCCCACACUGGCACUGAGAUACGGGCCAGACUCCUACGGGAGGCAGCAGUAGGGAAUAUUGGUCAAUGGGUGAGAGCCUGAACCAGCCAUGCCGCGUGCAGGAAGACGGCCUUCUGGGUUGUAAACUGCUUUUGCCAGGGGCUAAAAGGCCCAUGCGUGGGAAAUUGAAAGUACCUGGUGAAUAAGCCACGGCUAACUACGUGCCAGCAGCCGCGGUAAUACGUAGGUGGCAAGCGUUGUCCGGAUUUAUUGGGUUUAAAGGGUGCGUAGGCGGCCUAUUAAGUCAGUGCUGAAAUAUCCCGGCUUAACCGGGAGGGUGGCAUUGAUACUGAUGGGCUAGAGUACAGAUGAGGUAGGCGGAAUUGACGGUAGCGGUGAAAUGCUUAGAUAUCGUCAAGAACACCUAUAGCGAAGGCAGCUUACUAGGCUGUAACUGACGCUGAGGCACGAAAGUGUGGGGAUCAAACAGGAUUAGAUACCCUAGUAGUCC